UAGGGAAUCUUCGGCAAUGGGGGGAACCCUGACCGAGCAACGCCGCGUGAGUGAAGAAGGUUUUCGGAUCGUAAAGCUCUGUUGUUAAGGAAGAACGAGUGCGAGAAUGGAAAGUUCAUACUGUGACGGUACUUAACCAGAAAGGGACGGCUAACUACGUGCCAGCAGCCGCGGUAAUACGUAGGUCCCGAGCGUUGUCCGGAUUUAUUGGGCGUAAAGCGAGCGCAGGCGGUUAGAUAAGUCUGAAGUUAAAGGCAGUGGCUCAACCAUUGUAGGCUUUGGAAACUGUUUAACUUGAGUGCAGAAGGGGAGAGUGGAAUUCCAUGUGUAGCGGUGAAAUGCGUAGAUAUAUGGAGGAACACCGGUGGCGAAAGCGGCUCUCUGGUCUGUUACUGACGAUGAGGCUCGAAAGCGUGGGGAGCGAACAGG
Molecule: ribosomal RNA, 429 nt
Filed under: Bacteroidota bacterium
Lineage: Bacteria; Pseudomonadati; Bacteroidota
Description: Bacteroidetes bacterium partial 16S ribosomal RNA
Rfam family: Bacterial small subunit ribosomal RNA
Source: RNAcentral